UUUAAUUAGUUUGUCUGCGUCGCGCUGAUCGGAUGCCUAUUUGUUCAUAUUAUGUUAUUUAGGCCUACUAUGAUUCGUUUUUGUCUUUAUACUAGAACUGUUUGAAUUUAAAGCACAAACAGUAAAACAUUAAGGGUAUACAUGGUACACAGCGGUAAACAUGAGGUUAAAAAUACGGGAAGUAACAUUCAAACCGGGCUGUUUAAAGAAUCAAUUCGAUGUUUAAGUUUUUAAAAACAAAACUUUAAAGAAGCCAAGAUGAGACGUUCUUUGCUUAAAACAAACAUAACAACAGUAACUUGUGUGUUGGAAAUGUUAGCAGCUAGCAAGUGUCUCUCUGCUAUUUUAAAUGAUACACAGACGAUCUUUUGUUGUUUAAAAGCUCAUUGCUUUAGUGCUGAUAGAUGCUGCUUAUUUUUCAAGACGGUUUUAAUAGCUUUAUAUUGAUUUGUAACAAAGCCAGCUUCACUUUGAGAGAACCUAGAUGCUAAUUGUAAAGAAGCUUGGAGUCAUAAUAUAUUUUAACGUAAUAUGUUUGCUGUUCUUCAUCUUUUUAAAUAUGAAGUCUAUCCAUGUUUGUGUUUACAGAGGUCAUGUACACUGUGGUCAACUUUGUGGACGCUGAAGAGGUUUCUGGGUAAAGAUGAUAGAAAUAUAAUGAAGUAACAGUGGAAGCUAAAACAUCAGACUGAUCCAGACACUGAGGAAAUUGAUGUCACUGCAAUCUGGCCAAAAUGAUACAACUAUGUUGAAGUAGCCUACUGUAAUGAAGCUGCAGAACGUCACAGAGACUCUGAGGACAUCAACACAGAAAAUCAAGGCUCCAAAGAGAUGUCUGUCCAGAUGAGGGUGCAUCAACGUUACCUUUGCUGACAAGUAUAUGCUUUUAGCAGUUAACUUAACUCAAACCAUUUAAGUAAAUCGGUUGCCUUAAACCAUUAAGUUUUAAAAAACAUACAUUUGAGUACCGUGAACUUAAGUCUUGUGCAAUUAUGCACUUAUAUUUAGGUAGUGUGAACUUAAAUUGAGUCACAUGCAGUUAA
Misgurnus anguillicaudatus (oriental weatherfish) is the source of this 1043-nucleotide non-coding RNA. Lineage: Eukaryota; Metazoa; Chordata; Actinopteri; Cypriniformes; Cobitidae. The record is from RefSeq and is a predicted model, not a curated record.